This 464-nucleotide ribosomal RNA is filed under the name Vreelandella stevensii. Its description in RNAcentral is "partial 16S ribosomal RNA". It matches the Rfam family "Bacterial small subunit ribosomal RNA", at positions 339 to 795 of the family's 1533-position model. The record is from RNAcentral. Lineage: Bacteria; Pseudomonadati; Pseudomonadota; Gammaproteobacteria; Oceanospirillales; Halomonadaceae.
CUACGGGUGGCAGCAGUGGGGAAUAUUGGACAAUGGGCGAAAGCCUGAUCCAGCCAUGCCGCGUGUGUGAAGAAGGCCUUCGGGUUGUAAAGCACUUUCAGUGGGGAAGAAAGCCUUGGGGCUAAUACCCUCGAGGAAGGACAUCACCCACAGAAGAAGCACCGGCUAACUCCGUGCCAGCAGCCGCGGUAAUACGGAGGGUGCGAGCGUUAAUCGGAAUUACUGGGCGUAAAGCGCGCGUAGGCGGUCUGAUAAGCCGGUUGUGAAAGCCCCGGGCUCAACCUGGGAACGGCAUCCGGAACUGGCAGGCUAGAGUGCAGGAGAGGAAGGUAGAAUUCCCGGUGUAGCGGUGAAAUGCGUAGAGAUCGGGAGGAAUACCAGUGGCGAAGGCGGCCUUCUGGACUGACACUGACGCUGAGGUGCGAAAGCGUGGGUAGCAAACAGGAUUAGAUACCCCGGUAGUC